UAUAACUUUCAGCAACGGAUCUCUUGGCUCUCGCAUCGAUGAAGAACGCAGCGAAUUGCGAUAUGUAAUGUGAAUUGCAGAUUUUCAGUGAAUCAUCGAAUCUUUGAACGCACCUUGCGCUCCUUGGUAUUCCGAGGAGCAUGCCUGUUUGAGUGU
This 156-nucleotide ribosomal RNA is filed under the name Coniophora puteana. RNAcentral's name for it is "5.8S ribosomal RNA". It matches the Rfam family "5.8S ribosomal RNA". From Rfam's summary of the family: 5.8S ribosomal RNA (5.8S rRNA) is a component of the large subunit of the eukaryotic ribosome. It is transcribed by RNA polymerase I as part of the 45S precursor that also contains 18S and 28S rRNA. Functionally, it is thought that 5.8S rRNA may be involved in ribosome translocation. The record is from RNAcentral. Lineage: Eukaryota; Fungi; Basidiomycota; Agaricomycetes; Boletales; Coniophoraceae.